Molecule: small nucleolar RNA, 129 nt
Organism: Ochotona princeps (American pika)
Lineage: Eukaryota; Metazoa; Chordata; Mammalia; Lagomorpha; Ochotonidae
Source: Ensembl
UUCCAUAGUACAGAGUUCAGGUCGGAGCAGCCUUUCUGUUCUAUUAAUUAAACUCUGGGACAUUGACGUGGUCUAUGAGAUCACUGGUUAGAUGGGAUCAUUCUACUCACUUACACUCAGCCUACAAAA